GACCCAUUGUUCACGGGCCAAUAUCGGGUCGGACUCAAACGGGUUACGUCGGCCCGUUUUGCCAUCCUACCUCACUGAACUUCACACACUCCCGCUCAAACUUCUCUCUUCUUCCCCAACUACUCUCUGCCUUGUUCGUUCGUUCCUCAAUUCCACUAUGGACGAAUCCUCGUUGCAAUUCGUCUCCGAAAUAGGAAGACACCUUGCUCAACGAACUCGUCCCAGCAAGGACUUCAUCGUCAAAUCCCUCAGAAAAGCUGCAAAUGCUUUGUCUCAGAUAAAACAGUCUCCUCAACCGCGGACGGCCAAGGAAUUACAAGCUGCAAAGAAACAAGAAGAUGCUUUGAAGCCCCUGUCAAAUGCUGUGGUUUGUGGUGGUCUGCUUCAACAUGCAGAUAAGGAAGUUAGACUUCUGGUUGCCAUGUGUGUCACCGAGCUCUUUAGACUUAUGGCACCUGAACCGCCUUUUGAAGACGAGCAUUUGAGGGAUGUAUUUAAACUCAUCAUUAAUUUGUUUGAGGAUCUGGCUGAUACUGCAAGUCCAUUCUUUUCAAAAAGGGUUAAAGUAUUGGAGAUAAUGGCUCAACUAAAGUGUUGUGUGAUAAUGCUGGAGAUUAACUGCCUUGACCUAGUUCUUGAGAUGUUCAAUAUUUUCUUCUCAGUUGUGAGAGAUGAACAGCUUCUCAUUAGUGCCAUGACUUCUAUAAUGAUAAACAUUUUGUAUGAGAGUGAAGAGGCUUUUCAGCAACUAUUAGGAGUGGUUUUACUAAAUCUUGUUAAGCAAAAAGGGGAUGGAAAUUUUGCUGCUGAAAACCUUGCUGCAUCAGUCAUCAAAACUUGUGCGCAAGAGGAUGAGCUAAACCUCCUAGCUUGUGGGUUUCUAGUUUCUUGUAUACACGACAGAGAUGCUAUGGGCAGUGGGCUUAAACAAUAUUACUAUGAAAUUUUCUCAAAAGUUUUCGAGUGUGCGCCUGAGAUGCUUCUGUCUGUCAUCCCAAGUUUAAUUAAAGAAUUAUCGGCUGAUGAGGUUGAUGUUCGGAUAAAAGCUGUGAAUUUGGUGGGGAAGCUUUUUGCACUUCAACAUCGUGUUGCUCAGAAGUAUCCUGAUCUUUUUGUGGAGUUUUUGAAAAGAUUUUCUGAUAAAUCUGUGGAUGUUAGGAUUAGUGCUCUACAAUGUGCUAAAGUUUUCUAUUUAGCAAAUCCCUAUGAUGGCACAGAAUCACGUGAAAUUAUGACUUCUGUUGAAGAUAGAUUAUUAGACUCUGAUGAACAAGUGAGAAAGCAAGCAGUGUUUGUUGCCUGUGAUAUUUUUAGUUCAAACCUGAAACUUGUUUCAUCCAAAUUACUAUCUCAUGUUUCUGAAAGACUCCGGGAUAUAAAGAUAACUGUUAGAAAGAGUGCCUUGCAAAAGUUGGUAAGGGUAUAUCGUGAUUACUGCAAGAAAUGUUACGAAGGUAGCAUGAAAAUUAGUAAUCACUUUGAAGAGAUUCCUUGUAAAAUUAUGUUGCUGUGCUAUGAUAAAGAUUGUAAGGAGUUCAGGUUCCAGAACUUGGAAUUUGUUCUUGCUGAUGAUCUAUUCCCAGAAGAUCUUCCUAUUGAAGAAAGGACAAACCAUUGGAUACACAUGUUUUCUCUUUUCAAUUUUCCUCAUGAAAAGGCGUUCAAUACUAUUUUGGCUCAAAAGAGAAGGUUCCAAAAUGAAAUGAAAAACUAUUUGGCUACGAAGAAGAAAAUGAAGGAUAUUUGUCUUGAAGAAAUGCAGAAGAAGAUUGAUAGCAUGUUUACAAAAAUGGCAGCAUUCUUCCCGGAUUCUCACAAAGCUGAAGAGUGUCUGCAUAAGUUAAACCAAAUUAAAGAUAAUAGUGUGUUUCAGUUACUUGAAAAAUUGUUGGAGGAACAAGCCUUCACCACGAUUGGGCAAACUAUGAAAGAUAAACAUCUGGCAAUGAUUGGAGACAGCAAUCCAACUUACGAGUUUUUACGUCCACUAUUCUCCAAAUGUUCAUCCAACAUUUUCAGCUCAGAGCAUGUCAGAUGCAUCUUAGAUUAUCUUACCAAUAAUGAAAAUGAAAAUAGGACUUUGGAGGAUUCUUCUGCAAAUUUUCUGCUGGCUAUUGUUCGAUAUUUCCCUUCUAUGCUGAAAGGCUCGGAAAAGCAGUUCUUAUUGUUGUUGGAACAGAAAAGUCCUGUUAAUGACAAGCUGAUUGAAGUUAUGGCAAAGGCAGGCUGUCAUAUGUCUUUCAAUCAUAGUGAUAUUUAUCCAUUUUUAAGGGGAAUUUGCUUGGAAGGAACACGCGGACAGGCUAAAUUUGCGGGGUCUGCAAUUGUUGCUUUAUGCUCCGAACAGUCACUUUUUAGAAAGUUGUUUGAGGAGCUAAUUGAUUCCUUAUAUAGUGAGCGGAAUGUCCCUACUAUUUUGCAAUCUUUGGGAUGCAUUACACAAUAUGUUUCCAAUUUUGAAACUCAAGUUGAAGAGAUCACGUCAUAUAUAUUCCAGAAGAUCAUUCAAAUGGAGCAUUUGGAUGAUGGUCAUUGUGCGACAUCCUUUCAUGAUACUGCUCAAUGUAGUGAUUUUUGUCAGUUAAAGAUUUAUUGGCUGAAAGCUCUUGUGAAGAUUUCUUUGCAUUAUGAAGGGAGUCAUGUUGAGCGUAGUAUUAAUGGAUUGAUGGAAAUUUUGUCAAGAAUGCUACGAGAAAGUGAUUAUUUCGUCAAUACAACUGCUAGCUCCUGUGAAAAUGAUAAGGCUCAUAUUAAAUUAGCUGCUGCAAAAGCAAUCCUGCGCCUUGCUAGAAAGUGGGAUUUACAUAUUACUCCUCAGACUUUUCAGUUUUGUAUAUUGAUUGCAAAGGACUCCUCUUUGUUUGUUAGGGGCACAUUUCUUCGUAAGAUCCAAAAGUUGUUGAAGGAGCAUAAACUACCAAUGAGAUUUGCAUGUGCUUUUGCUUUGGCAGCAACAAAUGGCACCGGCGAUCAGCAAUAUCAGACCUACAAGUAUAUGGCAGAGUUUAUAAGGGAUUACACUAUAUCAGCCCGUAAACGAGAAACUUCUUCUGUUCAAGGAGUCAUCAUUGAUUGCCCAGCAUAUGUUUUGGUCUUCUUGAUUCAUGUGCUUUCUCGGAAUAAUGAAUUUCCAUUUGAAGUCUGUCCAGACGAAAAAAUUUAUGCUGAUAUUUGCAGUCCACUUUUCUUUAUCCUGCAGGCAUUAGUUGAUAUCAAUAUUGUUGAUGGUGACUUGGACAUUGUUGAUGAUGCUAUCCUGCAUAUAGUUAGUAUUUUUCGAGCAAUCAGAAAGGUUGAGGAUGGUGUUGAUGCACAGAUGACAACUAAGCUGCAUAUGCUGGCUGAAAUUGGGAUAUUUAUAUUAAAUGAAUUAAGCCACGGAGGAAUAUCCAAAUUGCAAACACCUGGACAAAUUUUAUUGCCUUCAUCAUUAUAUAGAGUGAGUCCUGUUAAGAUUGAUACUAGUUCAAAAUGUCCGACGUCAUGUUUUGAUGAAAAUUUUCUAAGUAGAAUUUUCCAAGCACUUAAGGAAUUUACGUUGGCUCAUCCACAAGCUCAAAAGACUGCAAAAAAAUUUCCUGAGCAUCAAAAGGGUCAACAUGAUGUUAAAAAGUCUAAUAUUAAUAUUGGUGGUGUAUUGGACUUGGCAUCUUGCAAACCAAAUGAUUUGUCAAGGAGAGAAAUAACAAAUGCUAAAACUGUGAAGCUAGACAUCCCUUCGGUGAAAAGGAGAAAAUGUGUGCCUGUAUCUGUUGGUUUGCAUGAAUGCUCUACGAUCGAGAAGCAACAAAAGAUACCAUCAAAACAUUUUGGAAAGACAAAAGAGAGCAACCUGCUUUCAUCAAGUGAUUCUGCUUGCUCUAAGGGUUCUCUGUAUGAAUCACAUGUGCAAACCCGUAAUUCAAAAAGAGCUGCUGCUUGUUCAUUGGAGAAUGCUGUGACAAAUAGCAAACAUAUUGUCGAACCUUUCAAAUGUCCUAGAACCAAACGGAAAGAUACAAGUGGCUCAAAGAAACAGGAUGUACUAGAAGAUGUUUCAAAUAAAAUUAAUUUCAUCCCCCGGGUCAUUACACGAAACGCGAUGGAGAAGCGCAUUGAUGGCCUUGAACAACAACUCGCGGAGUUAAGAAACUUGAUCAUUGCUUGUAACAGGUCUCGCAGUGGCCGACCUCACACACAACGUUCGCACAGACGACGGAAGGUGCAUGAUGAGGAUAAUGGUGAUGUGGAGCGUGACGACAACUCACGUUCGACGAUACGGAGUAGUAGUGGCGAGUCGUCGAGGGAUUUCGGAGGACGGAAACUCAAGAUACCCAUCUUCCAUGGUGAUGACGCUUAUGGAUGGAUCGUUCGAGCUGAACGAUACUUCAAAUUGAACUGGGUGCACGAAGAAGAAAAGCUCGAUGCAGUGGUAAUCGCAUUGGAGGAUAAGGCCCGGAGUUGGUAUCAGUGGUGGGAAGAACAAAGUAAGGAGCUCAACUGGGAGGAAUUUAAAGGAGCGUUGAUUCGACGCUUCCAACCAGGGUUGGUCCAAAACCCGUUUGGUCUGUUGUUGAGUAUUAAGCAAAGUAGUUCCGUAAUGAAAUACAGAGAAAAAUUUGAACGUGAAUCGGCUCCAUUGAAGAAGGAGGAAAGGAUUAUGUUGAAGGGAAUUUUCAUCAAUGGGUUGAAAGAAGAGAUCCAAGCUGAAUUGAAACUCUAUGCCACGGGCACAUUCGACGAGUUGAUGGACCGAGCUUUAUUGUUAGAAGAAAAGAAUAAUGCCUUACGCAAGGUUGGGUUGAUGGGCUCAAAGAAGGUGGGUGACAAACCACCUAUGAAACAGGCGAAAGGGUUCACUAGAUGGGCGAAGGGUGGAUUACUGAGGGGAUGAGCAAUAAAGUGAAUAAGAGUGAGCCGGUUGAGAAGAAGACAGUGGGUGGAGGAAGACUCUCUCAAGCUAAAUUGAGAGAAAGGAGUAUGAAGGGUUAUGCUUUAAAUGUGGUGAAACAUGGGGAAAGAACCAUAUUUGCAAAUUGAAACACUUUCAAUUUGUAUUAUUGGAAGACUCUCAAGAGGAAGAGACGGAGGAUAGUGAGGGAGAGCAGGAAACGGUGGAUACUCUCACUAUUAAGGUCCUGCAGAUAUCAUUGAAAAGCAAGGAAGGGUUGACUUCUAAUCGAUCCUUCAAGGUGAUGGGGUGGCGAUUUUGUCCUUUCCAGAAAAUUGCAAUACUCAGCCUUGAGUUUGAUACGUUUCUUUGAGUGGGAAGAAUUAGCAGCUGAAAUUGAGAAGGAUGUGGAACUGAAUAAAAUUCUACAAGAUCUGUUGGUCAAGGAGGGAGAACACUCAGGGUAUAAGAUGAACAAUGGGAGGUUGUAUUAUCAUAACCGACUGGUGAUUCCUAAGGACUCACAGAAAAUCAUCAGCAUUUUGAAAGAAUUUCAUGAUACAGUUGUGGGAGAACACUCGGGAUACUUUUAGACCUACAAGAGGAUUUCAAACUUGUUCUUCUGGGAAGGAAUGAGGAAGAACAUUAAAGAGUAUGUGCAGAAAUGUGAUGUGUGUCAAAGAAACAAGUAUCAAACUCUAAGUCCAGCAGGUUUGUUACAAACCUUACCUAUUCCUAAACAUCAUUGGAGGUUUGCCCAAAGCAGGGGGAAUGGAUACAAUAUUAGUGGUGGUGGAUCAACUCACCAAAUAUGCCCACUUUAUUGCUUUGGCACAUCCUUAUAAUGCCAAAGAGGUUGCAAAGUUGUUUUUAAAGGAAAUGGUAAAACUUCAUGACUUUUCAGAAACCAUUGUUUCCUAUAGAGACCGGGUUUUUAUGAGCUCCUUCUGGACAAAAUUAUUUAAGUUGGUUGGAACCAAAUUGAAAUUCAGUUUUGCAUAUCAUCCGCAAACUGAUGGGCAAACGGAAGUGGUAAACAGAUGUUUGGAAACUUAUUUAAGAUGCAUGACUGGUGCCAAACCAAGACAGUCACAUAGGUGGGUUAGUUGGGCUGAAUAUUGGUUUAAUACAAACUAUCAUGAAGUCACUAGGAUGACACCUUUUAAGGCAAUGUAUGGAAGAGAUCCUCCUCCGGUGAUUAGGGGAGAUGUUGCAACAAUCUCAGUAGAUGAAGUAGCUGGGAUGAUACAAGACAGAAAUAAAAUGUUAGAUAUAUUGAAGGACCACCUGGUGCAGGACCAAAAUCGAAUGAAACAGCAGGCCGACAAAAGUAGAAGGGGAGUGGAGUAUAAGGUUGGGGAGAUGGUGUAUUUGAAGAUACAACCAUACAAAUUGAAGAAGUUGGCUAAGAGAAUUAAUCAAAAACUUAGCCCAACAUAUUAUGGUUCGUAUGAAAUUGUUGAGAAGAUUGGAAAAGUGGUGUAUAGAUUGAAAUUACCCGAGGAUAGCAAGGUGCAUCCAGUUUUUUAUGUGUCUUUGUUGAAACCCACUAUGACAGUUGAAGUUGUGGUUCAACCGUUACCACCAUAUGUGACCAAGGAAAUUGAGUUACAGCUAGAAGAUGUUUUAGCUAUGAGAGGAGAUAGCAAACAGUCAUUAGAGGUAUUAGUAAAGUGGAAGAACAUGCUAAAUUGUGAGAAUUCAUGGGAAUCUUUGAGCAAGAUGAUUGAAGCAUUUCCUGAUCUUCACCUUGAGGACAAGAUGAAUUUUAAAGAAGGUGGCUUUGAUAUGGGUGGCAUAUUAGGAAGACACAAAAGGUUUAUGAAAGAAAGAAGUGGAAACCAAUUGCAUGGUGACCACAAGCCCACGCAUGUUGAUUCUGAUACUAACAGAAUUGCCUAUAUGGCUUCUAGAAGGAGGAGGGAGAUCUUUGGUUUUGGGAGGCAGAGAGAGGGAGGGUUUAGAGGGGGAGGGCUGGUUGGAUUUUGGCAGGGAGAACCAGAUACUGAGAAGGCAGGGCCAUAGAAAGAGGUGAACCUGGUGAAUAUUCUUCUCGUGGUGUUGUUGGUAUAAAGGCUGCAGUUACAAGACGCCAAGCUGCCAGAGAGGAAACACCACUGAAUAA
Molecule: unclassified non-coding RNA, 6995 nt
Organism: Vigna unguiculata (cowpea)
Lineage: Eukaryota; Viridiplantae; Streptophyta; Magnoliopsida; Fabales; Fabaceae
Source: RefSeq, a predicted model, not a curated record